RNAcentral lists this transfer RNA (74 nucleotides) under Haemophilus influenzae-murium. RNAcentral's name for it is "tRNA-Ala". It matches the Rfam family "tRNA". From Rfam's summary of the family: Transfer RNA (tRNA) molecules are approximately 80 nucleotides in length. Their secondary structure includes four short double-helical elements and three loops (D, anti-codon, and T loops). Further hydrogen bonds mediate the characteristic L-shaped molecular structure. tRNAs have two regions of fundamental functional importance: the anti-codon, which is responsible for specific mRNA codon recognition, and the 3' end, to which the tRNAs corresponding amino acid is attached (by aminoacyl-tRNA synthetases). tRNAs cope with the degeneracy of the genetic code in two manners: having more than one tRNA (with a specific anti-codon) for a particular amino acid; and 'wobble' base-pairing, i.e. permitting non-standard base-pairing at the 3rd anti-codon position. Lineage: Bacteria; Pseudomonadati; Pseudomonadota; Gammaproteobacteria; Pasteurellales; Pasteurellaceae. The record is from RNAcentral.
UGGGGAUAUAGCUCANCUGGGAGAGCGCCUGCCUUGCACGCANGAGGUCAGCGGUUCGAUCCCGCUUAUCUCCA